This 275-nucleotide ribosomal RNA is filed under the name uncultured bacterium. Its description in RNAcentral is "partial 16S ribosomal RNA". It matches the Rfam family "Bacterial small subunit ribosomal RNA", at positions 338 to 604 of the family's 1533-position model. The record is from RNAcentral.
CCUACGGGAGGCUGCAGUGGGGGAUAUUGCGCAAUGGGCGAAAGCCUGACGCAGCGACGCCGCGUGGGUGAUGAAGGCCUUCGGGUCGUAAAGCCCUGUCGAGGGGGACGAAACGGCUCCGACCUAAUACGUCGGGGCUCUGACGGUACCCCUAAAGGAAGCACCGGCUAACUCCGUGCCAGCAGCCGCGGUAAUACGGAGGGUGCGAGCGUUGUUCGGAAUCACUGGGCGUAAAGCGCGUGUAGGCGGUCUGUUAAGUCUGAUGUGAAAGCCCG